AAUUGGAAAAAAAUAAAACCAGAUGUCUCAUCACAACCUCCGCUGACUUCGCUCUCGUUCCAUAACGCUCUGGCCUGGUCAUCCGCUUCCGCUCUGCCGGGACCGUCCAGUCUCCACAUUGCAGUUGGAGCCAUCUCCAAACGCAACUUUCUUAUGAGAAGAAAAUUUAGUGAUUUGCACUAGCCUUUGGGAAAAAUGCAGCUUACCUGCACGGAGACAAGACCAGCAUAAAUCCACUUGAUGCUUAGUUGCAGUUUGAAGAGAAAGAAGAAAAAGAAACCUAGAAAGGAUAAAUGGCUCUGCAGCAUGUCGAUGCAUUUACAGCACUCCUUAAAGAGAGUAUCACUGAAUUGCCCCAGGGACCCAUCAGUCAUUCUUCUCUUCUCGUCUUAUGCAGUGGCAGCAGGGAAAAUAUUCUAUGUAUCUGUCUCCUGAGACAACUGAUUGGUUCCCAGAAACAUCAUCGCCUCACGGAAGGACAAGUUAACUGGAUAUCCUAAAAGAACAUUGUAUACAA
This 517-nucleotide long non-coding RNA is filed under the name Equus asinus (donkey). RNAcentral describes it as "lncRNA (ENSEASG00005030379.1)". Lineage: Eukaryota; Metazoa; Chordata; Mammalia; Perissodactyla; Equidae. The record is from RNAcentral.